Molecule: ribosomal RNA, 346 nt
Filed under: uncultured bacterium
Lineage: Bacteria
Description: bacterial SSU rRNA
Rfam family: Bacterial small subunit ribosomal RNA
Source: RNAcentral
AGGGUUUGAUCAUGGCUCAGGAUGAACGCUGGCGGCGUGCUUAACACAUGCAAGUCGAACGGGAAUGCUUCGCUGAUGCGAUUUCGGUCAAAUCUUGAAGCAUUUUAGUGGCGGACGGGUGAGUAACGCGUGGGUAACCUGCCCUGUACAGGGGGACAACAGUUGGAAACGACUGCUAAUACCGCAUAAGCGCACAGCUUCGCAUGAAGCAGUGUGAAAAACUCCGGUGGUACAGGAUGGACCCGCGUCUGAUUAGAUAGUUGGUGAGGUAACGGCCCACCAAGUCAACGAUCAGUAGCCGGCCUGAGAGGGCGAACGGCCACAUUGGGACUGAGACACGGCCCAA